AAAAAUAGAAGUAAACUAUACACUUGGCUUCGACCCAAUUAAUGGCUCUAGCCCUAUUUUUU
This 62-nucleotide transfer RNA is filed under the name Gammarus chevreuxi. RNAcentral describes it as "tRNA-Arg". Lineage: Eukaryota; Metazoa; Arthropoda; Malacostraca; Amphipoda; Gammaridae. The record is from RNAcentral.